RNAcentral lists this non-coding RNA (26 nucleotides) under Mus musculus (house mouse). The record is from RNAcentral. Lineage: Eukaryota; Metazoa; Chordata; Mammalia; Rodentia; Muridae.
UCCACAACAGCAUGACAUCCUGAGGA